Molecule: non-coding RNA, 86 nt
Submitted as: unclassified sequences
Source: Rfam
CAACACAAUCCUGUGUUUUAUGCAGCGUUAACCCACUGCGUAGCGGCUAGAACCCGCAUAGGACUUCUAUUAGGAGAAAUCAAAUG